Molecule: long non-coding RNA, 408 nt
Filed under: Lupinus angustifolius (narrow-leaved blue lupine)
Lineage: Eukaryota; Viridiplantae; Streptophyta; Magnoliopsida; Fabales; Fabaceae
Description: long non-coding RNA (LANG_LNC001575)
Source: RNAcentral
GAUAACAACCCCAAUACACUUUGUCAUUUAUUUUUGAUAUUACAUACUGAAUAUACGUUCAUCCAAGCUUAUUAGAUUCAUUAUUUUAAAACUAGAUGAAGGGCUAGAAAGUAUUAAGGCUUUGUAAUAUCACUGAGGUUACGUGCGUCACAGCAAAAUGGAAUGAGGCAACAAUCAGGUGGAGGUAUUCCUGUUAAAUCUCCUAUCCCUUUGGCAUUUCUGAUCCCUUCUGCACUUCCCAUUAAAGUAAUGAUGAUAGCAACAACAAGAACCAUAACCGUUAUCACUAUCUUCAUUGAAGUUGCAUGCAUUGAAACUCAACUUGAUUUUGGAAGGAAAAGGUGAAGGUGUAUUUUUUUAUGGAUUGUGAAAGUGAUAUGAAUAUAUAGUUAUAUGGGGAAUCCUCAC